CGGGGCGUGGCCUAGCCCGGAUAAGGCGCUUGACUGGGGGUCAAGAGAUCGCUGGUUCAAAUCCAGUCGCCCCGACCA
This 78-nucleotide transfer RNA is filed under the name Candidatus Hydrogenedentota bacterium. Its description in RNAcentral is "tRNA-Pro". It matches the Rfam family "tRNA". Rfam says of the family: Transfer RNA (tRNA) molecules are approximately 80 nucleotides in length. Their secondary structure includes four short double-helical elements and three loops (D, anti-codon, and T loops). Further hydrogen bonds mediate the characteristic L-shaped molecular structure. tRNAs have two regions of fundamental functional importance: the anti-codon, which is responsible for specific mRNA codon recognition, and the 3' end, to which the tRNAs corresponding amino acid is attached (by aminoacyl-tRNA synthetases). tRNAs cope with the degeneracy of the genetic code in two manners: having more than one tRNA (with a specific anti-codon) for a particular amino acid; and 'wobble' base-pairing, i.e. permitting non-standard base-pairing at the 3rd anti-codon position. The record is from RNAcentral. Lineage: Bacteria; Pseudomonadati; Candidatus Hydrogenedentota.